GCUUUCUUCAAGCAUCUGGAGAUCCACCAAAUUCUGGAGAUGCUGUUCAAUUGUAUUAAAGGAUAUGGCACUAAAAGGCUGAUGGGGAGCUCUGCAAUUAUUCACUGCUGGCUGAUCUGACGCAGCAUUUGUCUGGGGACCUUUAAUAGUCAAAUUCUCCUGGAGAGUGUUCCUAAUCUCCUACCUGGAAGGGUUUUGUACUGGAGGACUCAAGGAUAUCUCCAAGCUUUCAAAUUCUGUAUCAACACAUCCAUGUCAUAAGAUUCUUCAAGAUCAUGAAGUCUCACUUCAUCUGGUUAUGACUCUGCCCUCCAGAUAUUACUGCAUCUUCCAGAUUCCAACCCACCUUCUACUACAGUUGAACCUGGAGCUUGAGGGAGAUGCCAACGCUGCAUGGGGUGCUGCUGUGAAGUGGGAAAAUAUGCUUUACUCC
RNAcentral lists this long non-coding RNA (433 nucleotides) under Equus caballus (horse). RNAcentral's name for it is "lncRNA (ENSECAG00000060162.1)". The record is from RNAcentral. Lineage: Eukaryota; Metazoa; Chordata; Mammalia; Perissodactyla; Equidae.